RNAcentral lists this ribosomal RNA (262 nucleotides) under uncultured archaeon. RNAcentral describes it as "partial 16S ribosomal RNA". It matches the Rfam family "Archaeal small subunit ribosomal RNA", at positions 748 to 1009 of the family's 1478-position model. The record is from RNAcentral.
UAGCCGUAAACGAUACUCGCUAGGUGUCGGCCACGGUGCGACCGUUGUCGGUGCCGUAGGGAAGCCGUGAAGCGAGCCACCUGGGAAGUACGGCCGCAAGGCUGAAACUUAAAGGAAUUGGCGGGGGGAGCACAACAACGGGUGGAGCUUGCGGUUUAAUUGGAUUCAACGCCGGAAAUCUUACCGGGACCGACAGCAACAUGAAGGCCAAGCUGAAGACUUUGCCGGAUUAGCUGAGAGGUGGUGCAUGGCGUAGUCGUGU